GUACACGCUGUGACUAGCAUAUCAAUAAGCGGAGGAAAAGAAACUAACAAGGAUUCCCCUAGUAACGGCGAGUGAAGCGGGAAGAACUCAAAUUUGAAAUCUUAAAGGGUUUCCCUUUACGAAUUGUAGUUUAAAGAAGUGUUUUCUGUUGAGGUUUUGGUAAAAGUUCUUUGGAAUAGGACAUCAUAGAGGGUGAGAAUCCCGUAUUUGACCUUUACUUUCAACUUUGUGAUACACUUUCAAAGAGUCGGAUUGUUUGGGAAUGCAGUCCAAAAUGGGUGGUAGAUUUCAUCUAAAGCUAAAUAUUGGCGAGAGACCGAUAGCGAACAAGUACCGUGAGGGAAAGAUGAAAAGAACUUUGAAAAGAGAGUUAAACAGUACGUGAAAUUGUCAAAAGGGAAGCGUUUGACACCAGUGUUGUUUUUCUGAAAAUCAAUUAAAGAACUGUUUAUGCUAAGCUGUUUAGACUUUAUCAGCUAUCUGUUUAGUUUUGAGCUUUUCUUUAAUGCACUUUUCAGUUAACAAGUCAACAUCAAUUUCUUUUGCUGUAAAAAAGCUUGAGGAAGGUGGCUUGAGAUUCGUCUUAAGUGUUUAUAGCCUCUUGCCUAUGCAGUCGGAGAGAUUGAGGUCUGCAGCGUAGAUCCUUCGGGGCUAAAUGCAUUUGUGCUAAGUUAUAGCAUUUUAUAGACAACUUGUUGACUAUGAUUUGUCUUGUAGCUUACUCGCUUAUGUUAUUUUACCUACGCUUAGGAUGUUGACUGAUAUGUAGUCGUA
RNAcentral lists this ribosomal RNA (774 nucleotides) under uncultured Neocallimastigales. Its description in RNAcentral is "partial large subunit ribosomal RNA". It matches the Rfam family "Eukaryotic large subunit ribosomal RNA", at positions 22 to 644 of the family's 3401-position model. The record is from RNAcentral. Lineage: Eukaryota; Fungi; Neocallimastigomycota; Neocallimastigomycetes; Neocallimastigales.